This 403-nucleotide unclassified non-coding RNA is filed under the name uncultured fungus. RNAcentral's name for it is "partial contains 5.8S ribosomal RNA and internal transcribed spacer 2". The stretch from base 1 to 133 matches the Rfam family "5.8S ribosomal RNA", at positions 22 to 154 of the family's 154-position model. The record is from RNAcentral. Lineage: Eukaryota; Fungi.
UGGCUCUCGCAUCGAUGAAGAACGCAGCGAAAUGCGAUAAGUAAUGUGAAUUGCAGAAUUCAGUGAAUCAUCGAAUCUUUGAACGCACCUUGCGCUCCUUGGUAUUCCGAGGAGCACACCUGUUCGAGUAUCGUGAAAUUCUCAAGCUGGAUGGCUUUAUUGCUGUCUCGGUUUGGUUUUGGGCUCUGCCGUCUCCUCUUCUGGAACGGCUGGCCUUAAAAGUAUUAGCUGACCCUCGUUUGUGGGAUUGGUUCUACUCAGCGUGAUAAUCUUAUGACCGCUGAGGACAUCUUUCGAGAUGGCCAGUGCUACCUUGGAUCGCUUCUAAUCCUGGCGCUCGGAGUUCGUCUCCGAGCCCAUCAUUUUCAACUUUGAUCUCGAAUCAGGUGGGACUACCCGCUGA